AUUGGCUAGGGGUAAUGCUAGAGAGGCCAUUCUGGUGUCUUUUCCGCCUUGCUUGGUCUGAAACAUACGCGUAGGACCUACGGCCUCCAUCUUGGAUCAUCCGGGUUACUUUCGGUUUCAGUUAUGGCUCAGGUGGAAAAGAAGGUUUUUCGCUCAGGAGUUGGAGCAGAACACUGCAGUUUUUGAACCAUUGUGGAUAUACUGUUUUGGACCGAAACGCUUCAUUGGAUUAUGUUUUCUGGAUCCUAACGAACAGAAUGACACCACACUCGACGUGAAUGAACGAUGUCUGGGGCUCAGAAGUCGUCAAAAUGACAGAAUAAUCUGGUUACACUGCUGUGAUGCACCUUUCAUCAAGUUUGACACAGUUUCCCUUCCCUGUAUUACAGGACAGGUACGACGGUUGCCUCAGGGAAGAGUUCAUCCCUGGGUCGUGAGGGUCUGCAGCUAUUCCAGCAUUCAGUGUGAGGAAGCCCCACUGGGCAGCAAGACGGACCCUAACCCUAACCUAUUCAUCCAGUCGCUGCACACAAUCAAUUUCAAUGGAGUCUCUUCUCAUUUGAAAACCAACUCCAACAACACGUGCCACCAGAGGGCUCGAAGGGUUCAGCUGAAGUAGGCUUGAACGCCUCCUUGCCAGGACCUGACUUAGCAGUGACAGAGUAAUGGAGUCUGCAACGAAAACCCAUCCGUCCAUUAUCAUAGUAAGGGUCACCUAGAGCUAGGGCAGCUGUCGUACACGCUGGACAGCCUGCCGGUCCAUCACUGGGACAACACGGACAGACGGACAACCCUGGACAAUAAACUCUUCCAUUUGAACCUGGCUGUUUCUUGC
Molecule: long non-coding RNA, 835 nt
Filed under: Betta splendens (Siamese fighting fish)
Lineage: Eukaryota; Metazoa; Chordata; Actinopteri; Anabantiformes; Osphronemidae
Description: lncRNA (ENSBSLG00000006850.1)
Source: RNAcentral